CCUUGCACACACCGCCCGUCACACCACGAGAGCUGUUUGUACCCAAAGUUGCCUUAGCUAACCCGUAAGGGAGGCGGGUACCAAAGGUAGGUGAGGAGUGAUUGGGGUG
This 109-nucleotide ribosomal RNA is filed under the name uncultured bacterium. RNAcentral's name for it is "partial 16S ribosomal RNA". The record is from RNAcentral.